Molecule: ribosomal RNA, 253 nt
Filed under: uncultured bacterium
Lineage: Bacteria
Description: partial 16S ribosomal RNA
Rfam family: Bacterial small subunit ribosomal RNA
Source: RNAcentral
UACGGAGGGUGCAAGCGUUAUCCGGAUUCACUGGGUUUAAGGGGUGCGUAGGCGGAUUGGUAAGUCCGUGGUGAAAUCCCCGAGCUUAACUUGGGAACUGCCGUGGAUACUAUCAGUCUUGAAUAUCGUGGAGGUAAGCGGAAUAUGUCAUGUAGCGGUGAAAUGCUUAGAUAUGACAUAGAACACCAAUUGCGUAGGCAGCUUACUACACGAUCAUUGACGCUGAGGCACGAAAGCGUGGGGAGCAAACAGG